Amphimedon queenslandica is the source of this 666-nucleotide long non-coding RNA. RefSeq lists it as uncharacterized. The transcript is spliced from 2 exons. The record is from RefSeq and is a predicted model, not a curated record. NCBI's taxonomy places the organism in Eukaryota, Metazoa, Porifera, Demospongiae, Haplosclerida, Niphatidae.
CAGUUUGUAUGCAACAAAUAAAGCCUAACAAAUGUAUGCUAAACUGUUUAAAAGUCGAGAAAAACCAAAGCUUUCUUCGCCACAUAGGGCCAUGUGCCACCAUUUACUGUGUGUGGGGGUGGAGCAUGGCUUGAUUGAGCCACACCAUAGAUAUUAGAGUAAAUGAAAGGGAUAGGAAACUUCCGUUGCGUGGGCGGAUUAUUUCAUUAAGAUUAUUAAGUUGCCUAGCAACAUAGGCAAGUUACCCUUCCCGGGCCUUUUCCUUCACUGUUCGGCGUCCUAUUUCAACUCAUAACUCUAAAGUGACUUAUGUUUAUCCUCUGCAAUGAUAGUUAAAGGCAUUACAGAUACCUCCCUUACAGUUUGUUUAAUUUUUGAAGUAAAAUAAUAUUGAUAACUAUGGAAUACAAAAGAAGUAAUACCAGAAUUAACUAUUACCAACUAUUCUAUACAUUAUUAUGGAGGGCACGCAACAUAAAUGACUCCGAUGACAGAUUUGGUGACUGAUUUAUAAUCAAUUCAAAGUUUUUGCAAAGACCUUCGUUUUGUACCUUUUUCUUUACAGUUCAAAGAUUGGCACAUUUAAAUGUGAUAUGAAAGCAAAGCUUGAUGUACACUUGAGGGCACGCACAUACUUUACUGUAUGUGACAUAAACACAAUUUGAG